This 582-nucleotide ribosomal RNA is filed under the name uncultured bacterium. RNAcentral's name for it is "partial 16S ribosomal RNA". It matches the Rfam family "Bacterial small subunit ribosomal RNA", at positions 355 to 935 of the family's 1533-position model. The record is from RNAcentral.
UGGGGAAUUUUGGACAAUGGGCGAAAGCCUGAUCCAGCAAUGCCGCGUGUGUGAAGAAGGCCUUCGGGUUGUAAAGCACUUUUGUCCGGAAAGAAAUCCUUGGCUCUAAUACAGUCGGGGGAUGACGGUACCGGAAGAAUAAGCACCGGCUAACUACGUGCCAGCAGCCGCGGUAAUACGUAGGGUGCAAGCGUUAAUCGGAAUUACUGGGCGUAAAGCGUGCGCAGGCGGUUUGCUAAGACCGAUGUGAAAUCCCCGGGCUCAACCUGGGAACUGCAUUGGUGACUGGCAGGCUAGAGUAUGGCAGAGGGGGGUAGAAUUCCACGUGUAGCAGUGAAAUGCGUAGAGAUGUGGAGGAAUACCGAUGGCGAAGGCAGCCCCCUGGGCCAAUACUGACGCUCAUGCACGAAAGCGUGGGGAGCAAACAGGAUUAGAUACCCUGGUAGUCCACGCCCUAAACGAUGUCAACUAGUUGUUGGGGAUUCAUUUCCUUAGUAACGUAGCUAACGCGUGAAGUUGACCGCCUGGGGAGUACGGUCGCAAGAUUAAAACUCAAAGGAAUUGACGGGAUCAUAGCUGUUU